AGCGAACGCUGGCGGCAUGCCUAACACAUGCAAGUCGAACGAUGCUUUCGGGCAUAGUAGCGCACGGGUGCGUAACGCGUGGGAAUCUGCCCUUUGGUUCGGAAUAACAGCGAGAAAUUGCUGCUAAUACCGGAUGAUGACGUUAAGUCCAAAGAUUUAUCGCCAGAGGAUGAGCCCGCGUAGGAUUAGCUGGUUGGUGUGGUAAAGGCGAACCAAGGCGACGAUCCUUAGCUGGUCUGAGAGGAUGAUCAGCCACACUGGGACUGAGACACGGCCCAGACUCCUACGGGAGGCAGCAGUGGGGAAUAUUGGACAAUGGGCGCAAGCCUGAUCCAGCAAUGCCGCGUGAGUGAUGAAGGCCUUAGGGUUGUAAAGCUCUUUUACCCGUGAUGAUAAUGACAGUAGCGGGAGAAUAAGCCCCGGCUAACUCCGUGCCAGCCGCCGCCGUAA
This 450-nucleotide ribosomal RNA is filed under the name uncultured bacterium. RNAcentral's name for it is "partial 16S ribosomal RNA". It matches the Rfam family "Bacterial small subunit ribosomal RNA", at positions 29 to 523 of the family's 1533-position model. The record is from RNAcentral.